GGUUCUGUAGUGUAGCAGUUAGCAUGUCAGCUUUACACGCAGAAGGUCCUGGGUUUGCAUCCCAAGUGGAGCCA
Non-coding RNA from Pteropus alecto (black flying fox), 74 nucleotides. The record is from Rfam. Lineage: Eukaryota; Metazoa; Chordata; Mammalia; Chiroptera; Pteropodidae.